GCGUUCACUUCAGCAGCACAUAUACUAAGAUCGCAAUAUACAGAGAAGAUCAGCAGGGUCCUUGUGCAAAGACGACAUGCAAGUUCAAGAAGCAUUCCAUGUUUUA
Small nuclear RNA from Jaculus jaculus (lesser Egyptian jerboa), 106 nucleotides. Lineage: Eukaryota; Metazoa; Chordata; Mammalia; Rodentia; Dipodidae. The record is from Ensembl.